CAAAAUAUAGCUUAACCAAAGCACCUCGCUACACCGAGUAAACAUCUGUGAACCCAGAUUUUUUGA
Molecule: transfer RNA, 66 nt
Filed under: Megaelosia sp. MEG12
Lineage: Eukaryota; Metazoa; Chordata; Amphibia; Anura; Hylodidae
Description: tRNA-Val
Source: RNAcentral